Molecule: ribosomal RNA, 254 nt
Filed under: uncultured bacterium
Lineage: Bacteria
Description: partial 16S ribosomal RNA
Rfam family: Bacterial small subunit ribosomal RNA
Source: RNAcentral
UACGGAGGAGGCAAGCGUUAUCCGGAAUUAUUGGGCGUAAAGCGUCCGUAGCUGGUCGUUUCAAGUCUGCUGUCAAAGACCGGGGCUUAACCCCAGAAAGGCGGUGGAAACUGAACAGCUAGAGAGAGGUAGGGGUAGAGGGAAUUCCCAGUGUAGCGGUGAAAUGCGUAGAUAUUGGGAAGAACAUCAGUGGCGAAAGCGCUCUACUGGACCUUAUCUGACAUUGAGGGACGAAAGCUAGGGGAGCGAAUGGG